AUUGAACGCUGGCGGCAUGCCUUACACAUGCAAGUCGAACGGUAACAGGGAGCUUGCUCCGCUGACGAGUGGCGAACGGGUGAGUAAUGUAUCGGAACGUACCUUUUAGUGGGGGAUAACGUAGCGAAAGUUACGCUAAUACCGCAUAUUCUCUGAGGAGGAAAGCAGGGGACCGUCGGGCCUUGCGCUAAUAGAGCGGCUGAUAUCAGAUUAGCUAGUUGGUGAGGUAAAGGCUCACCAAGGCGACGAUCUGUAGCGGGUCUGAGAGGAUGAUCCGCCACACUGGAACUGAGACACGGUCCAGACUCCUACGGGAGUCAGCAGUGGGGAAUUUUGGACAAUGGGGGCAACCCUGAUCCAGCCAUGCCGCGCGAGUGAAGAAGGCCUUCGGGUUGUAAAGCUCUUUCGGCCGGGAAAAAAUCGCAUGGGUUAAUACCCUGUGUGGAUGAUGGUACCGGAAUAAGAAGCACCGGCUAACUACGUGCCAGCCGCCGCCGUAA
Molecule: ribosomal RNA, 500 nt
Filed under: uncultured bacterium
Lineage: Bacteria
Description: partial 16S ribosomal RNA
Rfam family: Bacterial small subunit ribosomal RNA
Source: RNAcentral